Molecule: transfer RNA, 67 nt
Filed under: Marmota monax (woodchuck)
Lineage: Eukaryota; Metazoa; Chordata; Mammalia; Rodentia; Sciuridae
Description: tRNA.Ala
Source: RNAcentral
GGAUGUGGCCCAGUGGUAGAGCGCUCACCUGGCAUGCGUGAGGCACUGGGUUCGAUACUCAGCGCCA